UACGUAGGGUGCAGGCGUUAAUCGGAAUUACUGGGCGUAAAGCGUGCGCAGGCGGUUUGCUAAGACAGGUGUGAAAUCCCCGGGCUUAACCUGGGAACUGCAUUUGUGACUGCAUCGCUGGAGUGCGGCAGAGGGGGAUGGAAUUCCGGCGUGUAGCAGUGAAAUGCGUAGAUAUGCGGAGGAACACCGAUGGCGAAGGCAAUCCCCUGGGCCUGCACUGACGCUCAUGCACGAAAGCGUGGGGAGCAAACAGG
RNAcentral lists this ribosomal RNA (254 nucleotides) under uncultured bacterium. RNAcentral describes it as "partial 16S ribosomal RNA". It matches the Rfam family "Bacterial small subunit ribosomal RNA", at positions 524 to 776 of the family's 1533-position model. The record is from RNAcentral.